This 1241-nucleotide ribosomal RNA is filed under the name metagenome. Its description in RNAcentral is "bacterial LSU rRNA". It matches the Rfam family "Bacterial large subunit ribosomal RNA", at positions 1564 to 2813 of the family's 2925-position model. The record is from RNAcentral.
UGAGUACGAGAUGCUACGGCAUCGAAGCAGUCUAUGUCAUACUUCCAAGAAAAGCUUGCAAUGUCAUAAACAAAUAAUGCCUGUACCAUAACCGACACAGGUGGGUAGGUAGAGUAUACUAAGGGGCGCGAGAUAACUCUCUCUAAGGAACUCGGCAAAAUGACUCCGUAACUUCGGGAGAAGGAGUGCCUUAUUUUUAUAAGGUUGCAAUAACAAGAUCCAAGCAACUGUUUACCAAAAACACAGGUCUCCGCUAAGUCGUAAGACGAUGUAUGGGGGCUGACGCCUGCCCAGUGCCAGAAGGUUAAAGAAGUUGGUUAGCAUUAGCGAAGCUGAUAACUGAAGCCCUGGUGAACGGCGGCCGUAACAAUAACGGUCCUAAGGUAGCGAAAUUCCUUGUCGGGUAAGUUCCGACCCGCACGAAAGGCGUAAUGAUUUGGAUACUGUCUCGGAGAGGGGCUCGGUGAAAUAGACUUGUCUGUGAAGAUGCGGACUACCUGCACCUGGACAGAAAGACCCUAUGAAGCUUUACUGUAACUUGAGAUUGAAAUUGGACUUUAUCUGCGCAGUAUAGGUGGGAGACGUUGAAAAUAUUCUUGCGGGAAUAUUGGAGUCAUCAGUGAGAUACCACUCUUAUAAUGUUAGAUUUCUAACUUUGUAUCAUUAUCUGGUCAAAGAACAGUUUCAGGCGGGCAGUUUGACUGGGGCGGUCGCCUCCCAAACGGUAACGGAGGCGCACAAAGGAUUCCUCUGAACGUGUAGAAAUCGUAUCUAGAGUGUAAAGGCAUAAGGAAGCUUGACUGUGAGACCUACAAGUCGAGCAGGGACGAAAGUCGGUCUUAGUGAUCUGACGGUGCUGAGUGGAAAGGCCGUCACUCAACGGAUAAAAGUUACUCUAGGAUAACAGGCUGAUCUCCCCCAAGAGUUCACAUCGACGGGGAGGUUUGGCACCUCGAUGUCGGCUCAUCGCAUCCUGGGGCGGUAGUACGUCCCAAGGGUUGGGCUGUUCGCCCAUGAAAGCGGUACGCGAGCUGGGUUCAGAACGUCGUGAGACAGUUCGGUCCAUAUCCGGUGUAGGCGUUAGAAUAUUGAGAGGAGCCUUCUUUAGUACGAGAGGACCGAGAAGGACAUACCUCUGGUGUACCAGUUAUCGUGCCAACGGUAAACGCUGGGUAGCCAUGUAUGGAGAGGAUAACCGCUGAAAGCAUCUAAGUGGGAAGCCCACCUCAAGAUAAGUAUUC